GACGAACGCUGGCGGCGUGCUUAAUACAUGCAAGUCGAACGGACAGGCCCUGCUCUUGUUGCUUGCUCGAUUGCCGAACGCGUGAGUAACACGCGUGUAUCCUGUCCUUGUCUUUGGGGUAACUCUUGGAAACUGGGGAUAAUAUCGGAUAGGAUCUCCUGCUGCACGGUGUGGGUUGGAAAGUUUCGGCGGUUGGGGCUGGACUCGCGGCUUAUCAGCUUGUUGGUGGGGUAGUGGCUUACCAAGGCUUUGACGGGUAGCCGGCCUGAGAGGGUGACCGGCCACAUUGGGACUGAGAUACGGCCCAGACUCCUACGGGAGGCAGCAGUGGGGAAUAUUGCACAAUGGGCGGAAGCCUGAUGCAGCAACGCCGCGUGCGGGAUGACGGCCUUCGGGUUGUAAACCGCUUUCGCCUGUGACGAAGCGUGAGUGACGGUAAUGGGUAAAGAAGCACCGGCUAACUACGUG
This 468-nucleotide ribosomal RNA is filed under the name uncultured bacterium. RNAcentral describes it as "partial 16S ribosomal RNA". It matches the Rfam family "Bacterial small subunit ribosomal RNA", at positions 28 to 507 of the family's 1533-position model. The record is from RNAcentral.